AACGAACGCUGGCGGCAUGCCUAACACAUGCAAGUCGAACGAGACCUUCGGGUCUAGUGGCGCACGGGUGCGUAACGCGUGGGGACCUGCCCUUAGGUUCGGAAUAACUCCCCGAAAGGGGUGCUAAUACCGGAUAAUGUCUUCGGACCAAAGAUUUAUCGCCUUUGGAUGGGCCCGCGUUGGAUUAGCUAGUUGGUAGGGUAAAAGCCUACCAAGGCGACGAUCCAUAGCUGGUCUGAGAGGAUGAUCAGCCACACUGGGACUGAGACACGGCCCAGACUCCGACGGGAGGGAGCAGUGGGGAAGAUUGGACAAUGGGCGAAAGCCGGAUCCAGCAAGGCCGCGGGAGUGAUGAAGGCCUUAGGGUUGUAAAGCUCUUUUACCCGGGAUGAUAAGGACAGGACCGGGAGAAUAAGCUCCGGCGAACUCCGU
This 432-nucleotide ribosomal RNA is filed under the name uncultured bacterium. Its description in RNAcentral is "partial 16S ribosomal RNA". It matches the Rfam family "Bacterial small subunit ribosomal RNA", at positions 29 to 506 of the family's 1533-position model. The record is from RNAcentral.